CACCGGCAGCCCGAGUGGUGAUCACUAUUAUUGGGUCUAAAGGGUCCGUAGCCGGUUUAAUCAGUCUUCUGGGAAAUCUAAUCGCUUAACUAUUAGGCUUCCAGGGGAUACUGUUAGACUUGGGACCGGGAGAGGUAAGAGGUACUGCAGGGGUAGGAGUGAAAUCUUGUAAUCCCUGUGAGACCACCAGUGGCGAAGGCGUCUUACCAGAACGGGUCCGACGGUGAGGGACGAAAGCUGGGGGCACGAACCGGAUUAGAUACCCGGGUAGUCCCAGCUGUAAACGAUGCUCGUUAGGUGUCAGGAACGGUGCGACUGUUUCUGGUGCCGAAGGGAAGCCGUGAAACGAGCCACCUGGGAAGUACGGCCGCAAGGCUGAAACUUAAAGGAAUUGGCGGGGGAGCACUACAACGGGUGGAGCCUGCGGUUUAAUUGGACUCAACGCCGGAAAACUCACCGGGGGCGACAGCAAUAUGUAGGUCAGGUUAAAGGUCUUACCUGAAUCGCUGAGUGGAGGUGCAUGGCCGUCGUCAGUUCGUACUGUGAAGCAUCCUGUUAAGUCAGGCAACGAGCAAGACCCGUGCCCACCGUUACCAGCAUAUCCUUUAUGGAUGAUGGGGACUCUGUGGGGACCGCUGCUGCUAAAGCAGAGGAAGGUGCGGGCUACGGUAGGUCAGUAUGCCCCGAAUCUCCCGGGCUACACGCGGGCUACAAUGGUUGGGACAAUGGGUAUCUACUCCGAAAGGAGUUGGCAAUCUCUUAAACCCAAUCGUAGUUCGAAUUGAGGGCUGUAACUCGCCCUCAUGAAGCUGGAAUCCGUAGUAAUCGCGUUUCAACAUAGCGCGG
RNAcentral lists this ribosomal RNA (846 nucleotides) under uncultured archaeon. RNAcentral's name for it is "bacterial SSU rRNA". It matches the Rfam family "Archaeal small subunit ribosomal RNA", at positions 474 to 1318 of the family's 1478-position model. The record is from RNAcentral.